Molecule: transfer RNA, 79 nt
Filed under: Xanthomonas citri pv. malvacearum
Lineage: Bacteria; Pseudomonadati; Pseudomonadota; Gammaproteobacteria; Lysobacterales; Lysobacteraceae
Description: tRNA-Ala
Rfam family: tRNA
About the family: Transfer RNA (tRNA) molecules are approximately 80 nucleotides in length. Their secondary structure includes four short double-helical elements and three loops (D, anti-codon, and T loops).
Source: RNAcentral
GGGGCCUUAGCUCAGCUGGGAGAGCACCUGCUUUGCAAGCAGGGGGUCGUCGGUUCGAUCCCGACAGGCUCCACCAUUU